RNAcentral lists this small RNA (90 nucleotides) under Flavobacterium degerlachei. Its description in RNAcentral is "Flavo-1 RNA". It matches the Rfam family "Flavo-1 RNA". The record is from RNAcentral. Lineage: Bacteria; Pseudomonadati; Bacteroidota; Flavobacteriia; Flavobacteriales; Flavobacteriaceae.
GGAUUGCGUGAGGGAUAAUAGUGGAGCUCUUUUUAUAACUGGUAUUUUUUACCAGUUAUAAAAAAGCGGGAACGAAUAGCCCGACCCGCC